CAACUUUUGACAACGGAUCUCUUGGCU
Molecule: ribosomal RNA, 27 nt
Filed under: Batrachochytrium dendrobatidis
Lineage: Eukaryota; Fungi; Chytridiomycota; Chytridiomycetes; Rhizophydiales
Description: partial 5.8S ribosomal RNA
Source: RNAcentral